RNAcentral lists this ribosomal RNA (496 nucleotides) under uncultured bacterium. RNAcentral describes it as "partial 16S ribosomal RNA". It matches the Rfam family "Bacterial small subunit ribosomal RNA", at positions 28 to 506 of the family's 1533-position model. The record is from RNAcentral.
GAUGAACGCUGGCGGCGUGCCUAAUACAUGCAAGUCGAGCGAACAGACGAGGAGCUUGCUCCUCUGACGUUAGCGGCGGACGGGUGAGUAACACGUGGAUAACCUACCUAUAAGACUGGGAUAACUUCGGGAAACCGGAGCUAAUACCGGAUAAUAUAUUGAACCGCAUGGUUCAAUAGUGAAAGACGGUUUUGCUGUCACUUAUAGAUGGAUCCGCGCCGCAUUAGCUAGUUGGUAAGGUAACGGCUUACCAAGGCAACGAUGCGUAGCCGACCUGAGAGGGUAAUCGGCCACACUGGAACUGAGACACGGUCCAGACUCCUACGGGAGGCAGCAGUAGGAAAUCUUCCGCAAUGGGCGAAAGCCUGACGGAGCAACGCCGGGUGGGUGAGGAAGGUCUUCGGAUCGUAAAACUCUGUUAUUAGGGAAGAACAAAUGUGUAAGUAACUAUGCACGUCUUGACGGUACCUAAUCAGAAAGCCACGGCUAACUACGU